UACGUAGGGUGCGAGCGUUAAUCGGAAUUACUGGGCGUAAAGCGUGCGCAGGCGGCUUUGUAAGACAGGUGUGAAAUCCCCGGGCUUAACCUGGGAAUGGCGCUUGUGACUGCAAGGCUCGAGUGCGGCAGAGGGGGGUGGAAUUCCACGUGUAGCAGUGAAAUGCGUAGAGAUGUGGAGGAACACCGAUGGCGAAGGCAGCCCCCUGGGUCGACACUGACGCUCAUGCACGAAAGCGUGGGGAGCAAACAGG
This 253-nucleotide ribosomal RNA is filed under the name uncultured bacterium. RNAcentral's name for it is "partial 16S ribosomal RNA". It matches the Rfam family "Bacterial small subunit ribosomal RNA", at positions 524 to 776 of the family's 1533-position model. The record is from RNAcentral.